RNAcentral lists this ribosomal RNA (1092 nucleotides) under Triticum aestivum (bread wheat). RNAcentral's name for it is "partial small subunit ribosomal RNA". The record is from RNAcentral. Lineage: Eukaryota; Viridiplantae; Streptophyta; Magnoliopsida; Poales; Poaceae.
AUGGGUCCCCGGAAGCCGCGGGUGGUGCUCUACCCGUCGCCGGGCAUGGGGCAUCUGGUCUCCAUGAUCGAGCUCGGCAAGCUCUUCGCGGCUCGUGGACUGGCCGUCACCGUCGCCCUCGUCGACUCGCCGCACGACACCAGCGCCACGGGUCCUUUCCUCGCCGGCGUCUCCGCGGCCAACCCCUCCAUCUCUUUCCACCGUCUACCACAAGUCAAGCUCCUCGGGUCUGAGCCGCCGGAGAUGCUAACCUUCGAGGUUGUCCGCCUCUCCAACACGCACCUCCGUGAGUUCCUCGCCGGCGACACCCCGGCCGUCAUCGUGCUGGACUUCUUCUGCAGCGUCGCCAUCGACGUGGCCACGGAGCUCGGCAUCCCCGCCUACUUCUUCUGCACCUCUGGAGCCCAGAUCCUGGCUUUCUUCUUGCACCUCGCGGUUCUGCACGGCAAGAGCACGAGGAGCUUCGGGGAAAUGGGCCAGGAACUUGUGCACUCUCCGGGAAUCACCUCGUUCCCGGCGACGCACGUCAUUCAGCGGCUUAUGGAUCGUGACAGCGCGCCCUACAAAGCAUUUCUAAACAUGAGCACCAACCUGUUCCGGUCCCAGGGGAUCAUCGUCAAUACCUUCCGCUUGCUGGAGCCGCGUGCCAUGGACACCAUCGUUGCCGGACUCUGUGCACCGUCCGGACUCCGGACGCCCCCGGUCUACUGUAUUGGGCCACUGAUCAAGUCGGAGGAGGUGGAUGUGAAGCGCGGUGACGAGAGUCUCGCGUGGCUGGACACGCAGCCCAAGGGCAGCGUGGUCUUCCUCUCCUUUGGCAGCCUUGGCCGGUUCAGCGCCAAGCAGACGAGGAAGGUGGCCGCCGGGUUGGAAGCCAGUGGACAGAGGUUCCUGUGGGUGGUGCGGAGCCCGCCAAGCGCCUACUCGUCGAAGAACUCCGAGAAGCCGCCUGAGCCGGACUUGGAUGCUCUCCUCCCGCAGGGUUUCCUUGAAAGGACCCGGGGCAGGGGCCUCGUCGUGAAGUCAUGGGCGCCGCAACGCGACGUGCUGGCACACGAUGCGGUUGGUUGUUUUGUGACAGACUGUGGGUGA